RNAcentral lists this ribosomal RNA (465 nucleotides) under uncultured bacterium. RNAcentral's name for it is "partial 16S ribosomal RNA". It matches the Rfam family "Bacterial small subunit ribosomal RNA", at positions 28 to 507 of the family's 1533-position model. The record is from RNAcentral.
GACGAACGCUGGCGGCGUGCUUAACACAUGCAAGUCGUACGGAAAGGCCCUUUCUUUGUUACAUGCUCGACUAACGAGCGAGUAACUCGUACGUAACUAGCCCACAAUUUACGUUUAACUCUAUGAAACUGAUUCUAAUUCUGACCAUGUACUAGUGCCUCAUGGUUGGUGUUGGUAAGCUCCUGGCGGUGUGGGUGGACUCGCGGGCUAUCUACCUGUUGGUGGGGUAGUGGGCUACCAACGCGGCGGCUGGUAGCCGGCCUGGGAGGGUGAGCGGCCACAUUGGGACUGAGAUACGGCCCAGACUCCUACGGGGGGGAGCAGGGGGGAAUAUUGGACAAUGGGGGCAAGCCUGAUGCAGCAACGCCGCGUGGGGGAUGACGGGCUUCGGGUUGUAAACCGCUUUCAGCAGGGACGAAGCUUUUUGUGACGGUAACUGGUGAAGAAGCACCGGCUAACUACGUG